This 20-nucleotide microRNA is filed under the name Oryza sativa (Asian cultivated rice). RNAcentral describes it as "osa-miR1442". The record is from miRBase by way of RNAcentral. Lineage: Eukaryota; Viridiplantae; Streptophyta; Magnoliopsida; Poales; Poaceae. RNAcentral also lists the same sequence under 1 other name.
AUUCAUAGUACUAGAUGUGU